GAUGAACGCUGGCGGCGUGCUUAACACAUGCAAGUCGAACGGUGAGGCCCUGCUUUCGGGGGGGGCUCGAGUGGCGCACGUGUGUGACACACGUGUGUCCUCCGCUUUUGUCUUUGGUAUACCUUGGAGACACGGGGUCUUACCCGGUACAGCAGUCCCUCCCGUGUCAUGGGGGUUGGAAGCUUUCGGUGGUUGGGGAUGGACUCGCGGCUAAUCAGCUUGUUGGUGGGGUAGUGGCUUACCAAGGCAUUGACGGGUAGCCGGCCUGAGAGGGUGACCGGCCACAUUGGGACUGAGAUACGGCCCAGACUCCUACGGGAGGCAGCAGUGGGGAAUAUUGCACAAUGGGCGGAAGCCUGAUGCAGCAACGCCGCGUGAGGGAUGACGGCCUUCGGGUUGUAAACCGCUUUCGGCUGUGACGAAGCGUAAGUGACGGUAAUGGGUAAAGAAGCACCGGCUAACUACGUG
Molecule: ribosomal RNA, 468 nt
Filed under: uncultured bacterium
Lineage: Bacteria
Description: partial 16S ribosomal RNA
Rfam family: Bacterial small subunit ribosomal RNA
Source: RNAcentral